UGGGGAAUAUUGGACAAUGGGCGCAAGCCUGGUCCAGCCAUGCCGCGUGAGUGAUGAAGGCCCUAGGGUUGUAAAGCUCUUUCACCGGUGAAGAUAAUGACGGUAACCGGAGAAGAAGCCCCGGCUAACUUCGUGCCAGCAGCCGCGGUAAUACGAAGGGGGCUAGCGUUGUUCGGAUUUACUGGGCGUAAAGCGCACGUAGGCGGACUUUUAAGUCAGGGGUGAAAUCCCGGGGCUCAACCCCGGAACUGCCUUUGAUACUGGAAGUCUUGAGUAUGGUAGAGGUGAGUGGAAUUCCGAGUGUAGAGGUGAAAUUCGUAGAUAUUCGGAGGAACACCAGUGGCGAAGGCGGCUCACUGGACCAUUACUGACGCUGAGGUGCGAAAGCGUGGGGAGCAAACAGG
This 404-nucleotide ribosomal RNA is filed under the name Pseudomonas sp. RNAcentral's name for it is "partial 16S ribosomal RNA". It matches the Rfam family "Bacterial small subunit ribosomal RNA", at positions 355 to 776 of the family's 1533-position model. RNAcentral also lists the same sequence under 3 other names. Lineage: Bacteria; Pseudomonadati; Pseudomonadota; Gammaproteobacteria; Pseudomonadales; Pseudomonadaceae. The record is from RNAcentral.